GAAACAUUUAGUAAAUAUUUAAGAUAAUCCUGUUAAAAAGAUUAUAUGAAUUCUUCUGGUACCAGACUUCCAUCAUCAAGUUGUAUGAAAAAAUGAGAUGUGGUAAAGUUUCCAAUGAGACCACUUUUUAACAAAGACUUAAAUACAAGAAUGUAAACUAUUGUAACUGUAUGGCCUUUAACAAUGAGCAAACCCAAACCUUAUUGUAAGCUAUUAAAAGGCCUAGGAACAAUAAAUAUGAAACAAUAGACCACUAAUGAGUAAGGUGCAACUUUGAUUUUAGAGGACAUGAUUCAUUUUUAGGGGCAUCAUCACUUCCUUCAAAUGUAAACUGAGCGAUUGAAACAUAUGAGAUGCUAUAUUGCAUGAUUUAUACAUUUAUUCAUUAAAUCUGUACCGAUUCAGUGUGUUAAAUGUCUUCCUUUUUACACCAUAACCCAUGGUGGUGCUCCUACUAAAGGAGGAAGAUACGGAACAUACAUACAUACGGCAAAUUAAAUUCUUAUAAUUGAUAAUCAGCAUAAGAGAAUUGUGUAUUAAAGUAUAUCAUUCCACAUGGUAUAUUUAAUAAGACAUACUAGUUAUUACAAUUUAUGGAACAUAACUUGAAACAUAAAACAAAUAAAAAGCAUUCACUUGACGGCCCCUUAUAAAUAUUCCCUUUUCAAUUACCUUUGACCUAAAAAGUAGAUUCUUUUAACUUGAGCCCCCAACUGAGAUAAAAGCCUAUAAAUCUUAAACCUGUAACAGAGC
RNAcentral lists this long non-coding RNA (753 nucleotides) under Mytilus galloprovincialis (Mediterranean mussel). The record is from RNAcentral. Lineage: Eukaryota; Metazoa; Mollusca; Bivalvia; Mytilida; Mytilidae.